Ziziphus jujuba (common jujube) is the source of this 843-nucleotide RNA transcript. It is a transcript of the gene named transportin-1, with no coding region annotated. Lineage: Eukaryota; Viridiplantae; Streptophyta; Magnoliopsida; Rosales; Rhamnaceae. The transcript is spliced from 4 exons. The record is from RefSeq and is a predicted model, not a curated record.
UUCUAUUUUUUUUGCUGGAGCUAAAACUAAUCAGCUAACUCCAUGGAUUAUUAUGCUUGGGCUGGGGAUUUGAUUUGUGGAUUUGAUUUGUGGCUCUUCUUUGAUUUGUGGCUUCAAUUGUGGAAGAGGAGGAACAUUCUUUAUCUUUUUGAUUUUCAAUUCAUGCUGGAAGCUUCAGUUGUUUUGAAUGUGAUUUUUAUUUUUCUUAAUUCUUGUAAUGCGAUUCUAGCACGUAAUUUGUUAUAUUUAGCCUAUUAUCUGGAAUUUAAUUAGUUAUUUCAGCUUAGGGCUUGAUGCGAGGAGCAACAUCCAUGGAGGUAAGCGAUUUCCCGGACGAUCAGAGGGAUAUAGCAACUUCAGGAUUGAUCGUGUUGGGUUCCCAAUAAAAAAAGAAAAAGAAAAAAAAGAAAAGGACUUUGGUAUGCUUUGCUUCACAUGGGGACCCAACAAAUUGGGUUAUUGUUGAUAGAGGUAUCUUUUAUCUACAGGCCAAGUUGUCCACUAGUGGUGAUGAAGCUUGGAAAGAGAGGGAAGCAGCUGCUUUCGCUCUUGGUGCAAUUGCUGAUGAUUGCAGUGCUGGUCUAUUGCCACAUUUACCAGAGAUUCAGAACCAAUAAACAUUAAAAUCCAUUUUUUAAAACUUUCUGCAGAUUGUUGCUUUUCUAAUCCCUGAAUUAAAUGAUUAGUUUCCUCUCAUAUGGAGUAUUUGCUGUUGGAGGCUUUCUCGUUUCAGCAAGUUUAUUAUUCAGGUAAAAUAGAUUUACUCCCAACACUUUUCUUUUUCAUGUAAAAGAUAAUUUCAUUUAUUUUGAUGGUUUUACCUAGGCUUUGGAUGAUUAACAA